Molecule: long non-coding RNA, 7360 nt
Filed under: Coffea arabica (coffee)
Lineage: Eukaryota; Viridiplantae; Streptophyta; Magnoliopsida; Gentianales; Rubiaceae
Description: long non-coding RNA (CARA_LNC005744)
Source: RNAcentral
UUUUAUGCAAGCACAAGAUCCAAGCACAAUAUGGAAGCAUUAAGAUGUUCAAGCAGAAUUGAACCAAGAACAUCUAAUUCUUAUAAAGAAAGACUAUAGGAAUAUGUUUGAAUCAUCCAUUUAUUUUUAUUUUCAAAUAAAAAGCCAAAGGUGUCUUUUUCAUUAGCUCACCCCAUUAACAACUUCAGCUUGGAGAUUCGGACCUGUAACCAGCUGCAAAUCAAGAUUUCAUGCAUUAGUAUGAGAAGCCAUCUUUUUCCAUGCUUGUAAGCACAACACAUAGAUUUUGCCUUUCUUUUUUUUUUUUUUGGGUUUGGAUUGGAAUAGAUUUUGACUGGUAGAACGAGUUAGCUUGCAAGCCUAGGUCAAGAAUAAAAUUCUUUACCUAAUAUAGAAAAAAUGGACUUCAACUUGGGGGCUGUGUUAAAUUCUUGUGUAUACCUGUAGAUAUUAAGCUUCAAGAUUUUCUUGAUGCACCCUGACACCAAGGAAAACAUCCUUAAUGAGAUGUAAUUUUCUGACUACUUCAUUCAUAUGCAUCCUAUCAUUUGGUAAUCUUGCAGAGCACAUAAGUCCAAUUUUCAGCAGGGAAAUAAUGCACUCCAUCUCUUUCCCACCAUUGCUAUUUUUCCCUCCAGGAGUCAUAUUUCUGUUUUCAUCUCCUUCAAGAAAAAGCAACGGGUCCGCUAUCUCAGAAACUCGUUCAUGCAAAGCCCCAUUAACAUAGUUAUGUAGAUCAAGAUCACCCACGAAUGUAUCAUCUGUUGGCCUCCUUCCUGUAAUCAUCUCUAACAAAAGAAUACCGUAGCUGUAGACAUCCCCCUGAGUUGAUGCCGCAAGACCCAUUCCAUACUCUGAGAUUUUGUUUCGAGACAUAUUAUUAUUGGGUAGUAAAAGAAAAACUAUAUAAAAGAAAUAAUUGAUUAAAAUUAAUCAAAUGUUAGAUUGGGGCAUAAUGGACCUCCUUUUAGAACAAAAUGACUUUAAUUCAAAUUAGCUACUAUGCAUCGGUGAUUAGAGAUCUCAUAGUAAUUAUAAUAAAAAAAUUAAAAAGAAUUAAAUGUCCCAAAGUUCUAUAUUUCUGCGCACAAUUAAGUAAAUUCUUGACCAUAAAAAUUUGUGUUACCUGAGGCUGCGUAGUCGAUUGUUCCUUUUAUAGCAAUAGUACUGCUGCCUUCUUGCUCGGAAGAUCUGUUGACGGGUUUCGGGAGAAGCCUUGCCAAUCCAAAAUCUACCACAUGAGCAACAAGAUCAUUGUCAAGAAAAAUGUUACUUGGUUUUAGAUCACAGUGAACAAUCUCAGCUUCGCAGUGGUUCUGAAGAAACUGCAAUGCAGAAGCCACAUCAAUUGCAAUGUUCAGCUUCUGAGAAAGAUUAAGACUUCUUGAGCUUGUUGCCUGAUCAGUUGUCUCUGAAGGAUGCAGCCACAAGUCCAGAUUUCCAUUUUCCAUCAACUCAUAGACUAGAGCUUUGAAUUCAUCACCCUUGGAAUCAAUACUGGAGCAAUAACGCACGACAGAAACGAGGUUUCUAUGGCGAAUAUUUCUCAAUGCUUUGCACUCCGCCUUAAAACUUUUCGAACCUCCAUUCUUUCGAAGAUCAAGAACUUUAACUGCUACAAGCUUGUUGCCAUGUUUUUCUAGCCUUCCUUUGUAGACAGCUCCAAAAUUUCCUGAACCAAUUAAGUUUUCUGGAGAAAAUCUAGAAGUUGCACGAAGAAGUUCAUGGUAAGAAAUUCGCAAGAGCUUAUUGACUCUUGUAGGCAUGCUAGAGAAUCCUGUCACCAUUCUUCUUUCUCUUUUUCGAUGUACCAAGAAAUAUAACAACAAUGCACCGAGAACCAGAAGCGUUGCUGGUAAAACAAUGGACAGCAAUAUGACAACCUUCAGCUUUCCUCUGUUUUUCCCCUUGAUCACUGGGCAAGGUGGGAACUCCAAUUCUGGAAUGCCUCCACAGAGUUUGUUAGGGCUGGCCCAGGAAAUAGACAAACUAAAGUUAGCACAAAUUAGGCGGUAUAACCGACCAUAUAAUAGAUAGGCGGUAGAUACCAGUCAUAUAAUAAUUAGGCGGUAAAACCGACCAUAUAAAGACGGAUAACAAAGCAAAUAAAAGACACAGAAGAUUUACGUGGUUCGGUCAAAUUGACCUACGUCCACGGACGAGGGAGGAGCAAUAUUUCUACUAUGAAAAAGAAAUACAAAAGACCGUAGGAAAGUGGUUCCUAGACCAAUAGGCACUUACAAAAGAGUUUAGAAAAUAUUCCUAAACUCAAAACAAGAGAGCCUAAAAUAUUUGACUGAAUGGGCUAAAUGACUCAAGAAACUAAUAGCCCAUAUUACUCUCUUGAGUGGUGCAAUUAAUUCCUUCAUAAAUCCCUUCUAUUUAUAGGCUCUCCAAUGAAGCCUUCCUGCUGUCUGCUGCGAUGUGGGAUGAAAGGAAGAAAACUUCCUUACGUAGCAUCUGAUGUGGGACGAAGAAUUUUGCCACACAAGGUCAAACCUUGCGGCACAACAGAGUUUGUUGUUGCCAGUCAAUGAUAUUUGACUUGCAAUACUGAAGACUCCAGUGUUCGGUAUCUCACCCUCGAUGUCGUUAUAGGAAAGGUUUAAGUACCUCAAAAAUUGAAGCUUCUCAAGUUCUUUGGGUAUUAGACCAGUCAAGUUAUUACUUGAAAGGUCUAAUUGUUGGAUGCUCUUCAAAGAAGCCAAAUUUGGUGGAAUUGUUCCUUGGAAAAAAUUGGCAUCCAUAUAAAGAUUCUCCAGAUCUGAACAGUCAGCAAGUGAGAUGGGUAUAGCUCCAGCAAGUUGGUUGUGGGAAACCGAGAAAUUCACCAUAUGUACAAGCUUUCCAACUUCAGGAGGCAGAGAACCAGUGAAAGAAUUUUCACUUAAUCCCAUAGCAAUCAGUGAUGAGUGCGUCUCCAGAAAAUGUGGUGAUAUAAAUCCAGUGAAGUUGUUUUGAGAUAUAUCCAGAAUUUGCAAAUUUUGACAGUUCAUAAGAACAUUGUCAAAUAUAUUGCCCCCUUCAAACUGGUUGGUCGACAAAUACAGCUCGGAUAGACCGGUGGCGUUGCAUAGAGUAGAGACCAUCUGUCCUGACAACUCAUUUAGGCUUAGACUUAGAAUUUGCAAAUUUUGUAAUUUGCCAAAAUCUCUUGGAAUGACCCCUGAAAGAUAGUUUUCUUCAAGGCCAAGUCGAAUUAGGUUGACAAAGUUUCCAAAUCCUUGUGGAAUGGUUCCUGACAGUUGAUUUGUUCCCAGGUACAAUUUAGUGAGUUGAUUUGAUAGAUUGCCCAUGACUUUAGGUAUAUUACCUCCAGAAUUAUUGUAACUCAAUGAAAAAGCGCUUAGAUCACUGCAGUUGGUCAAUGAUGCAAUAAAAUCUAAGUCUCCAGUUGAAUUACCGCCGAAGAGGUUUACUUCAAGAUUUAAAAAUUGAAGAUUUGUCAGAUCUCCUAAAUUAGUUGGAACUUGGCCUGCGAACUUAUUGCUGGAAAGAUCAAGUUCCUCAAGCCCAGAAGCAUUGGUGAUUGAAGUGGGAAAGUUUCCAGAGAAAUUAUCUCAAAUAAUCUGAAAAAUCUGAAAUGGAGAGCUUCCUUGAGUGUGGUACAACUUUUGUGCUCCCAAGUCAAUCGUGAACAGUGUAUCGCGCGUAGAGCUGCAAACGAGCCGAGUCGAGCUUUGAGCUAAUCGAGCCGAGCCUCAACUAAAUUUUACCAAGCUCGAGCUCGACGAGCCGGCAAAUUUCGAGCUCGAGCUCGACUCGAAUCAAGUCGAGCCGAGCUCGAGCUCGAGCUCGAGCUCAAAAAAAAAUAAAAAAUAAUUAUUUUAUUUUUUAAAAAAUAAAUAAAAUAAUAUUUUUUUCUUAAUAAAUAAUAAAAUAUUAAGGAUAUAUACAUAAUUUUACUCGAGCUAAAAAAAAAAUAAAAAAUAAUUAUUUUAUUUUUAAAAAAAUAAAUAAAAUAAUAUUUUUUUCUUAAUAAAUAAUAAAAUAUUAAGGAUAUAUACGUAAUUUUACUAUAAAAAUAAAAAAUAAAAAAAUAUAUAUAUAAUAUACGUAAUUUUAUUAUUAAAUAAAAAUAAAAAAAAUAUAUAUAUAUAUAUAUACCCAAGCUCGCGAGUCGGCUCGCGAGCUAACGAGCUUAAUAUUCUGAGCUCGAGCUCGAGCUCGAGUUUGACUCGAGCCGCUCGCGAGCAGCUCGAUUCGUUUGCAGCCCUAAUCGCGCGCGCGUUUCGCGCCCGUUUCCUCUGAGGUUUGUUUUGACUGUGCACUAAACCUCUAAUACACAUAUAUUCAUGUAAUUAUCAUUCACUCUUAAUGACCUCAAAAUAAGGUUCUAAAGUCCUUCAAAUAAAUCGCGCGCGUAAAACGCGUAUUUCCCACUUAUGCGCGAUAAGGUGAUUUUUUUGAGAAAUUCUUAUAACGAUGGCAUUUCUAACUAAUACAUGGAUAUUUAGGCAUAAAAAUACCUAUUUUAAGACUAGGGUAUAAAUCUCCCAUUAUUCGGGCUCAUGAACUCUCAAGUCAGUUACUAUUCCUGAGCCUACGGGCACUAUUCACACUUAACAACUUUCAAGACUUGAAUUGCGAACUAAUUGCCUUAAAAUUACUCAUGAGCUAUAAUGCUAUAGAAUUGGGUCCAAUAGGGCUAGAAAAUAAUAUUCGAAAUAAUUAAACAAUUAACUAAUUAAAUAACCUCAGAAUGGGAAUUUAAAAGAAAUAAAUUGCGAGUCCUCACAUUCCUGAUCUAACAUUUCUCCAACUUAAUUAUACCUUUUUAUAGCCUCUACAUAUACUAUAUUUCAACUUAGGACUAAUUCGCGCGUCGGUGCGCGAAAAUUCAACUUAGGGCUUUGCCAAACGCGAACCGUCAAUUAAAUCUUAAAAAUUCAAAUAAAUUGAAUUGUAACAUUUGAAUGAUUGAAAACAAUAUUAUUUAAAUAUAAAUACAUAUUAUUGGAUAAUUUUAAUAUUUUGAUUUAAUUUUCCAGAGGAUAAUAAAAUUUUUGAGGUCCUCACAUGAUUAAUUUUAGUUAAAAUGCUAAGUUAACCGAAUUAUUUUGUUAAUUUUGAGCAUUCCGUCGAGAAUGGUAUUUAAGCAGGAUGGAAUUUACCGUUUAAAGAGUAAAGUGUAGUUUAAGGAUGAAAAAGAUAGUCGAAGUAAAGAGUGCAAAGUAGAAUUAACACAAGUAAAAGUUAAAAUAACGGUGUUAUUUCAAACAAGUUGAAAAUGAGAUUGUUUAAUGAACAAAUUAUUAUUGGCAUAUAAAUAAGCAGGUUUUUAGAUACUUACAAAGUUUGAUAUUUAAAUGGGUUAUUAUAACUUUAUCCCCUUAAACUAUAUCAUUACUAUCAGUUUAUCCCCUAACGUUAUCUUUUAAUUACUUUACCCCUAUAAGUAAUUCAACUCAAUAUGUUAAGAAAUUUUGGACAAAAAUACCUUUUUAUUUUAUAGCAUUACUACAUUGUUAUUAUCACUUUAUUCGUUUAUAUUAUAGUGAUACAAUAACUUUAGUUCCUAACAUUAUUUUCUAUGCAUUUUACUUCAUCGUUAAUCUAACUAGUAUGGUAAAAAAAUUUUAAAUAUAUUUACCCUUUUUAUAUAUAAUUAAAAAUAAAAAAGUUGGAAUGGUUAUUCGUCUUCUUUUUUUUACUUUAAGUGAUCGAAAAACAUAAAAAUAAAAGGGUUUUCUCAAAUUUUUUUCACACUUAUUAAUACUAGGAAAAGAAAAAGAGAUAGAAAAAAAGAAGAAGAAAGAAAAUUAGAUUUUGCAAAGAAAGAAAAUAAAAAAAAGUCUAACAUUAUCGUAUUACAUUAAGGUUGUCGGGAUUAGAAUUUGGUAGUAAACAGAAAUGUGAAAUAAUUUUAAAAUAAUAAAAGUAUUUAAUUCUUUCUUAUUUGUAAUUUUUAAAAAAAGAAUUGAACUCUCUCCCCCUCCCCCUCCCCCUCCCCCUCUCCAUCUUUCUAUUCUUUUUUGAUAUUAAUAAAAUUGCCAAGAAAAAAGAAAUUAAUACUUUGAUUUUUUUUUUCUUACUACUAAAAAGGAGAAUAGCCACUAUAAAUUUUUUAUUAUUUUUAUUAUGCAAAUAGGAAGGUAUUUUCUACUAAAGUUUUUUAAUUUGCUAAGUUGGUUUAAUGGUAGGAUAAAUUGCCUAAAAAAUAACUCUAGAGGUAAAUUGAUAAUGAGACUAUAGUUUAUGGGGGUAAAGUGAUAAUAAUUUUAAGGGUUAAACAUGUCUAAUUAACAAACUCUGUUAAGUUUGACCGUUAGUUUUGGAGGUAAAGUGACUAAAAAAUAACGUUAAAUGGGAAAUUGAUAGUGGCACCAAACGUUAAGGGGGCAAAAUGAUAAUAAACCCUAUUUAAAUUCAAAGUCAGACAACUUGGCAUACCUCUAAACUCGUAAAUGUACACGUUAAUAGUGUAGAAAAGAUUAAAUACUUAAUGAUAUUAUACCUUCAUGUAAGUUGGUAUUUCACUUUGCUUCAUUAACUAAUUUUGUCAAAACAUUCCCUCAAAAAAGAAAAGGAAAGUUUUGUCAAAACAUUGCAGUUUGCCCCCUAUACACUUUUUUGCUUUUCCUUUUUCCCUGCUAAUGGAGUCUCUUAUUACUAUGAUGGCAGAAUGUUCCCAAUUGAUACCUUACCCAAUUUGUGCUUCUCCCAAAUUUUGACCCUAAGUUGGGCUGCCAGAGCCAGAGGACGCGACUUGCACAUGGAUAAAUUAUUCACUCAAAAAUCCUUUUCCCUUCUGAUUUUUUUUUUCUUGGCAGUUUCUCCAAUUAUUUAACAUUUUAUCUUUUUUUUUAAUUUCUCCUUCCUCUUCACUUCCUUCUUUAACUUUUCUUUCAACCCGAUAUUGCCUAGGUUACUUACUAGGCCCUACUAACAUUUUACGUUCAAAAUCAUCAAGAUAUGGCAUAAAAGUAUGAGCCCCACCAUGACUAGAUCCAUAGCUUUAAGAGGCAAGGUGACUUAAUUGAGCAAUAGAUGGAUAUGGUAAUAAGGGAACAUAUGAAUUUAUUGUACAAUUGAUCCUCUCCUUUUAUCCCCUUAUGUUGUUCUCAUUGUAACUGAAAUUUCAUAUAGUAGCAAAAUCAAAAUUCAAAGAAAGUGGGAGCAAGACUAUGCAUUGUAAGUAUAAUGUAUUGCAUAUUAUUUAAGCACUAGAUCCAAGCAUAAUAUGGAAGCAUUAAGAUGUUCAAGCAGAACUGAGCCAAUUGACUGCCUCCAAGAUCACCUAAUUCUAAGACUAUAGGAAUAUGUUUGAAUCAUCCAUUUAUAUUUUUAUUUUCAAAUAAAAAGCCAAAGGUGUCUUCUUCAUUAGCUCACCCCAUUAACAACUUCAGCUUGGAGAUUC